GCGUAUUUCAACAUCAAAUGCAUAGAGAAGGGAGUCAAUCCCUUCCACAAUUAAAUAUUAUAAAUCAGUAAUGAAUCGAACCAAUCUGUAUAGUAUGGAAUUUUUAAUGAAUAAAACCAAUCUGUUGUCGCACUACUGCUAAAAUAAAAUGAAUAACUUAUGUAUGUCAUCAUAAGAACUCAUAAAUUUUGAUACAGUUUUAAUUACCUUUCCACAUCUCCAUUAUCUUUGUCCUUAGUAACCUCCACAUCCUCUGAAUAAUGAUCCAUCCAUAUUUAAUAGAAUAUUAAUUAAAUUCUUUAGUUAGAAUGCUCUCAAAAUCGCCAUUAAAGAAAACGAACUGGAAAAAAAAUAUAAUACAUUAUUUCUGAAAAUUUUACCCUUAAUUGAAUAAUAAUAAUAAAAAAAAAAAAAAAAAACAGAGAACCUAAAUUAUAAUUUGUGAAGUGAAUAACUUUAAUUCUUGUGUAUUACCUCUAGGUUUCUUCUUACUCUUCUAGUUUCGUUAAUGUUGCUGUACUAGAAGCAAGAUUCUUCUUUUUGUUGUGAACCCUAUUUUGCCUAAUCCAAGUUUCAAAUCUUUUAAUAUUCACCAAAAAAAUAUGUCCGCUAAAUAAUAACAAGCAGAUUGAAUUUUUCAAUUGAUUUUGCAAAAUUUUGAAAAUCAACAGCAAUCAACACUAAAAAAUCAGAACACAACACAAAAGAUAAAUAUUCUCUAAACAAUAACUGUGUUGAAAAACUUAAAAAAUACCUAUGUCUUUCUUCUUCUCCUAAAUUGUUCGCCGCUUGUUCACCAAGAACCACUGCUUCUGCAAUAAUUUUUUCUUCAGAACCCUCGAUCGGAUGUCACAAAAAGAAGCAAAGUUAAUACAAUUCUCACGUCGUGUUGCACAAAAUAGAAUUGAAAAUGCAACAAACUACACAAAUCGAGAAGCAAACUAAACACAAAUGAAACUAUAUGGAUCGAAAAGAACUGGAGUAAAUGAUCGAGUAAACAAAAAAAAAAACUCGCCAUUUUCUUCACAACCUUCUUAUUUCAAUCUAAGACAACAUAAAUCGAAAAUACUUGCAAACUAAUUUCCAAAAUCGAGGAUAAAAUCAACAACAUUUCAACAAUUUCUCAAACUUAUUAUUUGCGUCCACCUUGUUCACCAAAAAAACAAAUUAGGUUCCCCUUGUCCACCUUGUUCACCAAAAGAACAAAAAAACAUUUGAAUUUCUGCCUAACCUUUGAAUUUUGCCGACCUUGUAUAUCUUCGCCGCUAACGGUAAUAAAAUGAAAAAAGGAAGAAAACCACCCUAAAUGUAAAUGAAUAAGGAAGAAAAGGUGAAAUGAAACAAGAGAAAAUUAGUCCAAAAUUAUUUCACCGCCUAAAUUAGUGAGU
Molecule: long non-coding RNA, 1388 nt
Filed under: Salvia miltiorrhiza (redroot sage)
Lineage: Eukaryota; Viridiplantae; Streptophyta; Magnoliopsida; Lamiales; Lamiaceae
Description: long non-coding RNA (SMIL_LNC006029)
Source: RNAcentral